Molecule: ribosomal RNA, 391 nt
Rfam family: 5.8S ribosomal RNA (bases 1-106)
UUUAUGCGAUACUGGUGUGAAUUGCAGAAUCCCGUGAACCAUCGAGUCUUUGAACGCAAGUUGCGCCCGAAGCCAAUAGGCCGAGGGCACGUCUGCCUGGGUGUCACACAUUUGCUUGCCCCCACCACUCACUCCUUGAUGAGAUGUGCUGGUUUUUGGGCGGAAAUUGGCCUCCCGUGCCUUGUUGUGCGGCUGGUGCAAAAGCGAGUCUCUGGCGGUGGACGUCGUGACAUCGGUGGUUGUAAAAUACCCUCUUGACUUGUCGCACGAAUCCGCGUCAUCUUAGUGAGCUCUAGGACCCUUGGGCGCUACACAAUCUGUUCGCCCUAACUGUGACCCCAGGUCAGGCGGGACUACCCGCUGAGUUUAAGCAUAUCAAUAAGCGGAGGAA